This is a long non-coding RNA of Mauremys reevesii (Reeves's turtle), 1115 nucleotides long. RefSeq lists it as uncharacterized. Lineage: Eukaryota; Metazoa; Chordata; Testudines; Geoemydidae. The record is from RefSeq and is a predicted model, not a curated record. The transcript is spliced from 3 exons.
ACGCAGACCGUCAGCUCCUGCAGAAGGAGAGCCAGUGAGCCUGGACCGGGGCGUCAGCCGAGCAGAGGCCGUACCGGAGACCCCGGGGAGGGACGCCUGCCGCGAGGGACCUAUGGGGGAACCGCUCCCACAACGCAGACGUCCAGCUAGACAGGGGCUGACAGGCACGUGGAGGACAAGAACGAAGGAGUUAACAGGACAUUAUGUCCCUUCACCCGAAAUGGGACCGAUCCAGAACCAUGGACCCGACCUCCCUCCAAUUCUCAGACGUUCCGAUCCACAACCAGAUUUCACAGCUGGGGCCUCCCUCGGUACAAACUGGAUCAGAACCAGAUCAGAGCCUCUUCCCAUUGUGAGCAAGCGAAUACUCAGCUCUUGGCUUGGGCCAGAUGUAGCUUUGAUCCUUAACAACAAGUCAUUAAUUAACGGUUAAUUAGUAGGGGGUUUCCAGGGAGUCAUUACAUUCGUUAAGCAAGAACAUUUCUACAGCUGAUCAACAAGCCCUGGAGGGAACACACACGCUGACCCGAACAGCUGCUGUUACCCAAGGAUUUGGACAGCUGCCGUCCCGCAAGACAGGAUGGAAUUUCACGGGCCCACCGAUCAGUCUGUAUUUUUGCAGCCAAAAUUAUAGACGGGUGCAACUGUUAGGCCUGAAUAAAGAUGUAGCACAAAACCAGUUGUGCCAACCUGACAAAAAUCAGGCUAGCAGAGGUUUCUGGGAAAAUCCAGAGUGAAAUACUGAAAAGCAGUAUUGUCUUACAAAGCCCUGGGAAACCGUGAGAUCAGUGAACGGGCUGGGACCAGCUGUGUUAUAUUGAGAGACAAACUGUCUCAAGCACUGAUAAGGAACACAAGCAUCUCACAGUUCUGACUAACUCCCUGAUUUAGUGUUCAGUGUGUUUUUAACUCCCUCACAUUCCUAACCUUUGGCGCUUGUUGAGAUAUUAACAAUUCAAUAUUGUAGAGACUAGGCAUGCGUAUAUAUUAAAAGGUGUCUAAUUUCUAGUUGUUAGACGAAGGGGGUGGGUUGCUCUAGUGAAUGAUUUAUGACGUAAUAAAACUGUCUAUAUAAGCUAUACUAAGUUGUAAAGGGGGGGCUGGUUCUUUUCGGA